GCUUGAAUCUAAGCCCUCCUAUUUUCCCAGUCCUGUCGCUAUUCUCAACUGCUGAAGAUGGCGUGUGACUGCCAAGAUGGUCAAAGGUAAACGAUUUGUAAUUUUUAGGCUAAUUGAACGGUCCUGAUUCCAUGGCUAACUCCUGCUAGGUGCUAGGUGUAAAUGCUAUAAGAUCCUUGCAAGCUAAGGAGCAGUCAUUUUCAAUUUCUUACAGAGAAAUGGACAAAGGAAAGUUGCUUAGCUGUUGAAACUUUUUCAGGUUUGAGUACAGUAUUCUGAUCAGAAAACCAGGUAAGCAGCCGAAAGAGAAUCCAAAAAAACAAAUUUAAAAAUGGCUCCUUCUGUAGCAAACAUAUAUGUACUUUAUUAAUUUCCUCUAGAAAGCUAGAA
RNAcentral lists this long non-coding RNA (390 nucleotides) under Theobroma cacao (cacao). Its description in RNAcentral is "long non-coding RNA (TCAC_LNC002788)". The record is from RNAcentral. Lineage: Eukaryota; Viridiplantae; Streptophyta; Magnoliopsida; Malvales; Malvaceae.